This 235-nucleotide ribosomal RNA is filed under the name uncultured bacterium. RNAcentral's name for it is "partial 16S ribosomal RNA". It matches the Rfam family "Bacterial small subunit ribosomal RNA", at positions 116 to 334 of the family's 1533-position model. The record is from RNAcentral.
CGUAGGUAAUUUGCCUUUGGGUGGGGAAGUAAACUCAGGGAAACUUGAGCUAAUACCGCAUAAUGCAGCGGCAUUUAAGUAUGACAGUUGUUAAAGCGGAGGAUCGUAAGACUUCGCGCCUAAAGAGAAGCCUGCGGCAGAUUAGCUAGUUGGUAAGGUAAUGGCUUACCAAGGCGACGAUCUGUAACCGGUCUAAGAGGACGGUCGGUCACACUGACACUGAAUAACGGGUCAG